CAAGGAUUCCCCUAGUAACUGCGAGUGAAGCGGGAAAAGCUCAAAUUUAAAAUCUGGCGGUCUUUGGCCGUCCGAGUUGUAAUCUAGAGAAGCGUCACCCGCGCUGGACCGUGUACAAGUCUCCUGGGAUGGAGCGUCAUAGAGGGUGAGAAUCCCGUCUCUGACACGGACUACCAGGGCUUUGUGGUGCGCUCUCAAAGAGUCGAGUUGUUUGGGAAUGCAGCUCUAAAUGGGUGGUAAAUUCCAUCUAAAGCUAAAUAUUGGCGAGAGACCGAUAGCGAACAAGUACCGUGAGGGAAAGAUGAAAAGAACUUUGGAAAGAGAGUUAAACAGUACGUGAAAUUGCUGAAAGGGAAACGCUUGAAGUCAGUCGCGUUAACUGGGGAUCAGCCUCGCUCUUGCGUGGUGUACUUCCUGGUUGACGGGUCAGCAUCAAUUUUGGUCGCUGGAAAAAGAUCUAGGGAAUGUGGCAUCUUCGGAUGUGUUAUAGCCCUUUUUCAUAUACAGCGGUUGGGAUUGAGGAACUCAGCACGCCGCAAGGCCGGGUUUCGACCACGUUCGUGCUUAGGAUGCUGGCAUAAUGGCUUUAAUCGACCCGUCUUGAAACACGGACCAAGGAGUCUAACAUGCCUGCGAGUGUUUGGGUGGAAAACCCGAGCGCGUAAUGAAAGUGAAAGUUGAGAUCCCUGUCGCGGGGAGCAUCGACGCCCGGACCAGAACUUUUGGGACGGAUCUGCGGUAGAGCAUGUAUGUUGGGACCCGAAAGAUGGUGAACUAUGCCUGAAUAGGGUGAAGCCAGAGGAAACUCUGGUGGAGGCUCGUAGCGAUUCUGACGUGCAAAUCGAUCGUCAAAUUUGGGUAUAGGGGCGAAAGACUAAUCGAACCAUCUAGUA
This 893-nucleotide ribosomal RNA is filed under the name Tulostoma domingueziae. Its description in RNAcentral is "LSU rRNA". It matches the Rfam family "Eukaryotic large subunit ribosomal RNA", at positions 69 to 949 of the family's 3401-position model. The record is from RNAcentral. Lineage: Eukaryota; Fungi; Basidiomycota; Agaricomycetes; Agaricales; Agaricaceae.